GCGGCAGCUUAACACAUGCAAGUCGAGCGGUAACAGAGAUAGCUUGCUAUCUGCUGACGAGCGGCGGACGGGUGAGUAAUGCUUGGGAAUAUGCCUUUGAGUGGGGGACAACAGUUGGAAACGACUGCUAAUACCGCAUAACGUCUACGGACCAAAGGGGGGGAUGCUUCGGCACCUCUCGCUCAUUGAUUAGCCCAAGUGAGAUUAGCUAGUUGGUAAGGUAAUGGCUUACCAAGGCGACGAUCUCUAGCUGGUUUGAGAGGAUGAUCAGCCACACUGGGACUGAGACACGGCCCAGACUCCUACGGGAGGCAGCAGUGGGGAAUAUUGCACAAUGGGCGAAAGCCUGAUGCAGCCAUGCCGCGUGUGUGAAGAAGGCCUUCGGGUUGUAAAGCACUUUCAGCGAGGAGGAAAGGUUAGUAGUUAAUAGCUGCUAGCUGUGACGUUACUCGCAGAAGAAGCACCGGCUAACUUCGUGCCAGCAGCCGCGGUAAUACGAGGGGUGCAAGCGUUAAUCGGAAUUACUGGGCGUAAAGCGUGCGUAGGUGGUUUGUUAAGCAAGAUGUGAAAGCCCCGGGCUCAACCUGGGAACUGCAUUUUGAACUGGCAAACUAGAGUUUUGUAGAGGG
Molecule: ribosomal RNA, 629 nt
Filed under: uncultured bacterium
Lineage: Bacteria
Description: bacterial SSU rRNA
Rfam family: Bacterial small subunit ribosomal RNA
Source: RNAcentral